UACGGAGGGUGCAAGCGUUAUCCGGAUUUACUGGGUUUAAAGGGUGCGUAGGUGGAUAAUUAAGUCAGUGGUGAAAUCUUCAGGCUUAACCUGGAAACUGCCAUUGAUACUAUUUGUCUUGAAUACUUCGGAGGUAAGCGGAAUAUGUCAUGUAGCUGUGAAAUGCUUAGAUAUGACAUAGAACACCAAUUGCGAAGGCAGCUUACUACACAGUAAUUGACACUGAGGCACGAAAGCGUGGGGAUCAAACAGG
Molecule: ribosomal RNA, 253 nt
Filed under: uncultured bacterium
Lineage: Bacteria
Description: partial 16S ribosomal RNA
Rfam family: Bacterial small subunit ribosomal RNA
Source: RNAcentral